AUACUUACCUGGACGGGAUCAAUGGGUGAUCAAAAAGGCCUAUGGUCUAAGUUGGUGACCUCCAUUGCACUUUGGAGGGGUGCCUGCCUAAGGUCGGCCCAAGUGGUCGAGCCUACGUCAUAAUUUGUGACAGUGGAGGCAUGCGUUCGCGCAGCUUCUAC
This is a small nuclear RNA of Cynara cardunculus var. scolymus (artichoke), 161 nucleotides long. RefSeq annotates it as U1 spliceosomal RNA. The transcript has a single exon. NCBI's taxonomy places the organism in Eukaryota, Viridiplantae, Streptophyta, Magnoliopsida, Asterales, Asteraceae. The record is from RefSeq and is a predicted model, not a curated record.